UACAGGGGUGGCAAGCGUUGUUCGGAAUUACUGGGCGUAAAGGGCGCGUAGGCGGCCUUGUAAGUCUUGUGUGAAAUCCCUCGGCUCAACUGAGGAACUGCACGGGAUACUGCGAGGCUUGAGUUCGGGAGAGGGAAGCGGAAUUCCGGGUGUAGCGGUGAAAUGCGUAGAUAUCCGCAAGAACACCAGUGGCGAAGGCGGCUCACUGGCCCGGUACUGACGCUGAGGUGCGAAAGCGUGGGGAGCAAACAGG
This 253-nucleotide ribosomal RNA is filed under the name uncultured bacterium. RNAcentral's name for it is "partial 16S ribosomal RNA". It matches the Rfam family "Bacterial small subunit ribosomal RNA", at positions 524 to 776 of the family's 1533-position model. The record is from RNAcentral.